GAUGAACGCUGGCGGCGUGCCUAAUACAUGCAAGUCGAACGAAUCUUCUUCGGAAGAUGAGUGGCGAACGGGUGAGUAAUACAUAGGUAACCUGCCCCUGUGCGGGGGAUAACAGGAGGAAACUCCUGCUAAUACCGCAUAGCCAUGAGCACCGCAUGGAGCUCAUGCCAAAUAUCCUUUCGGGGAUAGCGCAGGGAUGGACCUAUGGCGCAUUAGCUUGUUGGCGGGGCAACGGCCCACCAAGGCAACGAUGCGUAGCCGGCCUGAGAGGGCGGACGGCCACAUUGGGACUGAGACACGGCCCAGACUCCUACGGGAGGCAGCAGUAGGGAAUUUUCGGCAAUGGGGGAAACCCUGACCGAGCAACGCCGCGUGAGCGAAGAAGGCCUUCGGGUCGUAAAGCUCUGUUGUAAAGGAAGAACGGCGCAUACAGGAAAUGGUAUGCGAGUGACGGUACU
Molecule: ribosomal RNA, 458 nt
Filed under: uncultured bacterium
Lineage: Bacteria
Description: bacterial SSU rRNA
Rfam family: Bacterial small subunit ribosomal RNA
Source: RNAcentral